GAGUUAAUUAGUAAUCAAAUUAUUAAUUAAAUUUCUCAUAAAUACUGAGUCCAAAUUUGAUAGGCAAUCAGGCAUCAGAAUUCAUCGAUAUGUAACCCUGAUCGAAAAGUCCCAACCAGUGGGACUCUUGACCCCGAUACCCAUAAUGUGUGGAACUCAUGAUCAGAGAAUCCUGAUUCUCGAUCACUGAGUCCCAAACAUGUAGAAUUCUACAUCAGCCAUCAGAUCAGAUAGGAACUUCUAAUGUAUGUGACCCCGCAGGUUCGAAUCUAAGCCGGUAGCAUAGGAACCAAUUCCUGUACUAAUCGAAGUGACCAUCUAGCAAUGGUACCCGAUAUUCAGAU
Molecule: long non-coding RNA, 344 nt
Filed under: Elaeis guineensis (African oil palm)
Lineage: Eukaryota; Viridiplantae; Streptophyta; Magnoliopsida; Arecales; Arecaceae
Description: long non-coding RNA (EGUI_LNC051708)
Source: RNAcentral